This 331-nucleotide ribosomal RNA is filed under the name uncultured Roseovarius sp. Its description in RNAcentral is "bacterial SSU rRNA". It matches the Rfam family "Bacterial small subunit ribosomal RNA", at positions 1029 to 1382 of the family's 1533-position model. Lineage: Bacteria; Pseudomonadati; Pseudomonadota; Alphaproteobacteria; Rhodobacterales; Roseobacteraceae. The record is from RNAcentral.
AUCACACAGGUGCUGCAUGGCUGUCGUCAGCUCGUGUCGUGAGAUGUUCGGUUAAGUCCGGCAACGAGCGCACCCCACAUCCCAGUUGCCAGCAGGUUAAGCUGGGCACUCUAUGGAAACUGCCCGUGAUAAGCGGGAGGAAGGUGUGGAUGACGUCAAGUCCUCAUGGCCCUUACGGGUUGGGCUACACACGUGCUACAAUGGUGGUGACAAUGGGUUAAUCCCAAAAAGCCAUCUCAGUUCGGAUUGGGGUCUGCAACUCGACCCCAUGAAGUCGGAAUCGCUAGUAAUCGCGUAACAGCAUGACGCGGUGAAUACGUUCCCGGGCCUU